GAUGAAGAACGCAGCGAAAUGCGAUAAGUAGUGUGAAUUGCAGAAUUCAGUGAAUCAUCGAAUCUUUGAACGCACAUUGCGCCUCCUGGCAUUCCGGGAGGCAUGCCUGUUCGAGCGUCAUCAAACCCCAUCGUGCAAAUGAAUUAUUUUUUUUGCGCGGAAGUGACGAUUGAGCGAGAAUAACAAAUCCUCUCGCACCUCGUCGAAAUGAUUGCGGGCGGAAUUUGGGAUCGGGUUCCUCGGCGUAGUGUAUCGAUGCAUAUUUAUGCAACUUGCCGCGGAGUUGAGCCUGACCCACGCGUUCUCGCCGUACAAACACCUCAUUACUUUACAAGUUUUUGACCUCGGAUCAGGUAGGGAUACCCGCUGAACUUAAGCAUAUCAAUAAGCGGAGGA
RNAcentral lists this unclassified non-coding RNA (396 nucleotides) under soil metagenome. RNAcentral describes it as "partial contains 5.8S ribosomal RNA, internal transcribed spacer 2, and large subunit ribosomal RNA". The stretch from base 1 to 120 matches the Rfam family "5.8S ribosomal RNA", at positions 35 to 154 of the family's 154-position model. The record is from RNAcentral.